CUUGUGGCACUUCCUCUUCCAUUACAGUCAUAUUGUCAGGGUAAUAGCAAGAGAGCAGGCUGCCAUCUGGAGCAUUAUCACACCGCACUGGUGUCAAGAAGCAGUGAAGUCUGGUAUCCAGUGUCUUGGAUUUACUUUCUCUCCCUCUGGCAAGGACUCUAUGCCUUCUGCUCAUUCAGGUACACUAAUUCCUUUUCAUGGGUGAAAUUGUUUGGGGACUUUCACGGCACUGUUUGCAGUUAAUAACAGCAGUGAUUGAAAGUGGAUGCUGCUCUGCAUAUUUAGGAGUUAGGGUUGAUGGACUUUCUAAACAGAGGCUAAUUUUAUGAAGGAUGGGUGCCUCAGUGUGAGCUGCAGCUGUCUGCAUAAAUAAUAUUAUUCAAGAAAAACGAGAAAACCCUUGAAGCAAUCCUCUCAAAGAGCUGAUGGCCUGGAGUUUAUGGAUUAGAAUACAUCCAUUUGUUUUAGUUUGACAGUUCUCACUCUUGACUUUACUGCCACCUAGUGAAAUCAGACAACUUCACUUGAUGCUGGUAUGAGAGACAAGCUUUCAAACACUAAAUAAAAGUUGGAAAUGCACAGGUUAUUCAAACUGAUCAAAGUGUGAAUAACCUCAAUGUUUGAGCAACAACUAAACUAUUCUGUGUGAAGUAUUUUUUUAAAAAUCACAUUUUGAGGACCUACCUUAAAUUUUACCUGACAUUCUGAGAACAUCUAAGUCUAUUUGGCUCUCUCCUGAAGUCCUUUGUUCUUAUUUGCAAAGGCUUCCUGCAGGAUUAGUUAUUUACUUCCAUGGCAACAGAAUCACAUUAUUUUUUUUUGUCAAGUGAUCAUUAUGGCCACCACACAAGCAGCUGUCCCAUUACCUCUCUGAACUCCACCCAACCCCUUCUUCCUGACGCUCCAUGCCAGCCUCUCUCUCUCCCUUUCAUCCUCUCAUUCCUCAUCCAAUCCUCGGUGGAUUCAUUCUGUGUCGGCUGCUCGUCUGCCAUACCAUCCAUUAACCAUUCCCACAUCCUCUGCGUCCAGAUCUAUGAUUUACUGCUGGGCAGAGAGCCUAGUUUGAAUUGAUCUAUAGCUAGAUUUACGUCUGCCCCCCAGUCUGCCUUAAAUGGGGGAGAAAAGAACAUAAAUGGGAUCUCGUCCUGUUUUCUAAUAACCUUGGAGCUCAAAUGCGCAUCAUUUGCAUGCGAGAUACUCAAGCGAAGGAUGUGAUUCUUAAGGAUCUACAUAUCUUACACUGAGAUGCUUUGCAGAAUAAGCAUCCAAAUGGCAGGUAUUAUAAAAACACCCUCAUUUAGUUAGUAAUAUUUUAAGUGUGUGUGGGGCUUCAGGGUGUCUGUCCUUUAGAUGUAAGUGGCAGAGCCUUUGUGCUCUUAUGUAAAUUUGCCCUUUUCUGAUGCACUGAGAGCCGGGGAGGAUAAUUGUUUAUGAUUACUCUGUGACAUUUCCAUAUGGCUGACGAAUGGUUUGUCAACGCACGCACACACACACUCACUAGAACAUACACCUACGUCAGGAUCUAGCUGUUUGGAGCCUAAUGGAAGCUUUAUUUAGCCCCAAAUUGGAAACCCUGGCUAUAUGAAGGAAAUCAACCUCACUGGUGAAACGGUAUCAUUUUUUCAACUGUGUGUCUCUGAACCUAAGGGCCCUCUUUUAAGAGGGGGAUGGGUUCGGGUGUCGGGCUGAUAGGGUGGCAGAUAUUGUUGCAAUCCAGGAUGGAUGGUACAUAAAGCGAAAGUGCUUUGUUCUAUCGAUCUGACACUCUCUUUCAACCCCCAUAUACUUUUUUUUUGUUAUCAUGAUAGCAUCAGGAUUAUAACCCUAUCCACACAUGAUUCCUAUUCCCCAUUCACGCCCCCAUCAUUUCCCAUGGGAUACUUGUAUCGGGUGAGUGUGGGUGGGGGUUUACCUUUGCAUGAGCCCUGGUUGAGAUCAUAGGGGCUAAAUCAUAUUUACCCUAACCCCUCCCUCCCUCCCUCCCUCCCUCCCUCCAUUCUCUCCCUCCUCCUCCAUGCCCCCCUUCCCUCCUGCUCUGUUGGGCAGAUAGAUGACAGCCACCUUUUCUUUCCUCCAGACAGCAGGGUGUUUGCUGUUCCUCUUAUCCACCCAAGAGACCGGCCUCGAAACAGUGUUAUUCACCAGCAGGAUCUGUCUCUGUUUGCCCUGCCAUGUUGUAAGAGGAACAAAAGUGUUUGUCUGUGGCAUGAAUACAUCUAGAUCUUGGAUAACCACCACCACACAAAAUAAUAUCCUUUUUUGGGUCCUGUAUUAUACUGUACUCCUUGAAUGUUAUAAAGUUGUCUUUGGUGUUAUUGAAUCCUUUUCUGCUUUCUGUGGACUGACACAUUUUUCUGAUACUUCCCACUAGGCUUGAGAUAAUGUCUUUUUUGUGUAUUGACAACAGUUCCCAUCCAUAAAAAAGUCAGAAUAAUAAGGAAAGCCUCAGGGAACAAAACAUCAACCUUUCAUUUAAUAUCGAGCCACAACUUUUGUGUUAAGUCAGUUUUUGAACACAUUAAAAAAUCACUUCUUUUAUAUUUCCCCCAAAAAAAUUCAUCCAAGGGUG
Non-coding RNA from Xyrichtys novacula (pearly razorfish), 2569 nucleotides. The record is from the annotation of a GenBank genome assembly. Lineage: Eukaryota; Metazoa; Chordata; Actinopteri; Labriformes; Labridae.